UACGUAGGUGACAAGCGUUGUCCGGAAUUACUGGGCGUAAAGCGCGCGUAGGCGGUUUUGUAAGUCGGGUGUGAAGUCCCCAAGCUUAACUUGGGAACUGCAUUCGAGACUGCAUAGCUAGAGUAUGGGAGAGGGAAGUGGAAUUUCAGGUGUAGCGGUGAAAUGCGUAGAUAUCUGAAGGAACAUCAGUGGCGAAAGCGACUUCCUGGACCAAUACUGACGCUCAUGUGCGAAAGCGUGGGGAGCAAACAGG
This 253-nucleotide ribosomal RNA is filed under the name uncultured bacterium. RNAcentral's name for it is "partial 16S ribosomal RNA". It matches the Rfam family "Bacterial small subunit ribosomal RNA", at positions 524 to 776 of the family's 1533-position model. The record is from RNAcentral.